CCUACGGGUGGCAGCAGUGAGGAAUAUUGGUCAAUGGUCGGGAGACUGAACCAGCCAAGACGCGUGAGGGAUGAAGGUCCAGAGUAUCGUAAACCUCUUUUGUCAGGGAACAAAGGCGGGGACGCGUCCCCGGAUGAGUGUACCUGAUGAAAAAGCAUCGGCUAACUCCGUGCCAGCAGCCGCGGUAAUACGGAGGUUGCGAGCGUUAUCCGGAUUUAUGGGGUUAAAAGGGUGCUAAGGGGGUUUGUUAAGUCAGUGGGAAAAGUCCGGGGCUCAACCCCGGCCCGCCGUUGAAACUGGCAGUCUCGAGUGGGAGAGAGGUAUGCGGAAUGAGCGGUGUAGCGGGGAAAUGCAUAGAUAUCGCGCAGAACUCCGAUUGCGAAGGCAGCAGGCCGGCUCCACACUGACGCUGAGGCACGAAAGCGUGGGUAUCGAACAGGAUUAGAUACCCGAGUAGUC
RNAcentral lists this ribosomal RNA (459 nucleotides) under uncultured bacterium. Its description in RNAcentral is "partial 16S ribosomal RNA". It matches the Rfam family "Bacterial small subunit ribosomal RNA", at positions 338 to 795 of the family's 1533-position model. The record is from RNAcentral.